Molecule: ribosomal RNA, 404 nt
Filed under: uncultured bacterium
Lineage: Bacteria
Description: bacterial SSU rRNA
Rfam family: Bacterial small subunit ribosomal RNA
Source: RNAcentral
GGGCCCGCACAAGCGGUGGAGUAUGUGGUUUAAUUCGAUGCAACGCGAAGAACCUUACCAGGGUUUGACAUCCUGCGAAUCUCUUGGAAACGAGAGAGUGCCUUCGGGAGCGCAGUGACAGGUGGUGCAUGGCUGUCGUCAGCUCGUGUCGUGAGAUGUUGGGUUAAGUCCCGCAACGAGCGCAACCCACGUCUUUAGUUGCCAGCAUUUAGUUGGGCACUCUAGAGAGACCGCCGGUGACAAACCGGAGGAAGGUGUGGAUGACGUCAAGUCAUCAUGCCCCUUACGUCCUGGGCUACACACGUACUACAAUGCUACGGACAAAGGGCAGCAAGUUCGCGAGGACAAGCAAAUCCCAUAAACCGUGGCUCAGUUCAGAUCGUAGGCUGCAACUCGCCUACGUG